CCACAAUGUACCCUGAAUGUGAGGUGCUAUGGGGAAUAUGAAGAUGAAAGAGACCCUGCCACUGCUUUCCAGGAGUUCACCAUCUGGUAUGGGAGACCAACAUCCACCUAACUAGGUAUUAUCCCAGAGCUAGAAGAGAGUCUGGUAUAUUUGAAUAAUUGUAUCAAUGCCUAUGGAAUGGAUGAGUACAUUCUAAUACAAAGUACGGCAGAGGUAAACACAAGUUUCCUAUUAGUGAACUAAAUAUAUAUAAUACUUAGAGGGAUAGCAUUCUGUAGAUUAUCAUCCUUCAUUGACAUUAUAAACUAAUAGUCUCCCUUAGUAUUUGCUGCUAUAAGGUGGUAAAAGCUAGCUAACAAAGCAAAAUGAAAGGUUGUUCAUAUUAAAUAAUACUGAAAUGAUUCCAUUUUCUACAUUGCCCUCCACAGGUCCUGAAGUGGAACCAUUAAAGAAAGGGUACCUGCCACUCCAUAUCAUCUCACUUCAAGAACUUGCAUAGAACAUCUCAGUUUCUGCUUUUAUAAAAAACAUUUCUGCGUUCUACAGAGCCAAGACACAAUCUACCAUGGCCCUCCUGGGUUUGAAGAUGACAAGCACAUUUCUUUAUUCAUGUGUACUCAAUUGCCUUUCAGCAAUCUGCUGAACUGCAUACUUGCUGGUCAGUUACCUUGGCAACUCCACAGUAAAGGCUGCUUCACUUUAAGUAUAGUAUGCCAUUCACUUUGAGAAAAACAUGAUACAGAUGUAUGACACAUUCAUCAUCUAGAAAUGGAAAAUGACUAAGCCACUAUGUUUUGUUUGUAAAAAUAAUACUUCCUUUCUGUAGCAUCAGUUUAAAUUACAGGCACCCACACAACAUUUUAGAGGAGUGCCCUUUGCCUUUCCCUUUCGCAUUUGUUACUUGCAAAACAAAUAGCUCUGCAACGGAGGCAAUUUAGGCAGUAUUUACACCUAUGCUUCCUUUCAAAAACAACAAAUGACACAGAGAAUUCGAAGCUAUAGGUUCUUGUUCUAAACGUGAGCUAUAUAAAUAAAGCUGAUGGGGUCCACUCCAACACCUACAGAGGCUAUUACUAACAGUUAACACAUGUUGCAGUCACAUAUGCCCAGGCAGCACUCACAAACCAUAAGCUUAAAGCAUGUUGUUUUCCUUAAGAGCAAGUCUUGAAAAUCAAAUUUAAACACUCUAAGAAUCCACAACACUAAGAUCUAAUAAUCUCUGAAAUAUACAUGUGUACAGUGCCAUGCUAAUCAAGCCAAGGUAACAGGGUCUGGCCUCUCUGUGUAUCGCAUGGUUUUGCAAUCUUCUACGGCUGCAAAUCCAUUACCUCUGCAAACAUACGCCACUAGAUAUAAAUGAAACUGGAAAACUAUGGGUGGUUAAAUCCAUGCAAUUCUAUCACUAUUAAUGGGAAAAACAAUGAGACCAAAAGUCCAACCCGCAAGAGGUCAAAAAUAUCAUCUCCAAAUAGCAAGCAUAGCUAGAUUUACAAAGAUUAAAAACUUCUGAAGACAGGUAGUCAUAAGGAACAGAAUUUUUUAAGUAAUAAUUACAUAUCUGAGUAGAGAGAGCCAAAGGGUUAUGUAAGCAAGUAGCUGGGAUCAUUAUCUCGCUCUCCCUAAACAUAGAUCCAAUUUAUCUCAUCACCAUGUUACCAAAACCUUGUUCACAAAACUGUUAUCUGUAUGUUUCAUUCACAGGGUAUAGAAUCUGCAGCCAUUUCAACAACUCUAUAUUAUGUGACAGCAUAGAGCCCAGAAUCAAAUAACAGACCACGAAAGCAGUAGCAAAAAAAAAGGGAGCUCAUGCUAGCUAAACAAUGUCUUGUUUUCCUUUACUAAUAGUCCAGUGGAAACUCUCUCUCCAUAAUGAAAAUAUAUGGGUGUGCACGUGUGCUUAUUACAAUUACCUUCAAAGCAAGUUUGAAUGUAUUUAGUAAACAUUAAAUUUUGAAAGUACUAUGGUGGUACGCUGCCAAUGAAUCCACAGCAUAUAACUUCACAAUUCUCACAAUGAUUAUUCUUAAUGGCAUGUGCAUAAGCACAGGCACACACACAGCCCCUUCACUACAAAAAUGUCCAGAGAACACUUGCCAGUUCUUUUUCUGCAUCACCAAGAACAAUUACAUGGCUAUAAAGAUAAAAUAACAACUGAGUAUAAGACCCUGCAAGUUUGAGCUAGUUUUAAAUCUUAAAGCCAUCUGUCUUCUGAAAUCUUUGAGAAGAAAGUCAUAAAGUAUUGUCAAUAUUUAUGUCCGGGUGACUUUGAUUAGGUACCCAGUAUGUUUAGGUCUCUCUUAUAGAUGCUUUAUUAAUAAACUAAUCACUUUAAAAUGUCCAUUUAUAUCAUCAUUUUCUAAUUUUUAAGGUUUACAAGGAUCUAAUAAAAUCUCAGUUUACCAGAACCACAUGAAAUGAAUUGUUCCACAGAGCUGAUGUUUCUGAAGUACUCUGCAGUUGAUUCUUUUUCAUGAUGGUAUAAGAUCAUCAUUUUGUACAUCAAUUGUUGCACUCUGCUCUAUUAUACGGUGAUACCCGUAUGGACUGUUUGGUUGCCUUGUCAUUUACCGAUCACACUGUGGGUCCCAGUCUGCUAAUGCUUUUUAAGGUUGUGUGUUUUACAGAUUUUGUUUUCUCUUUUGUAGACAAGUUGUCAGCUGUCAUUUCUCAUUGCUAUCAGUAUGUUUCCCAUAGCAGCUUCUCUAUCCCCUCUAAUUUGCUGUUAUUAAUCGGCUGCAGGUUUAGAAACCAGACUACCAAAUGAGGCAGGGUUGCACAUUGAAGUAAAAACAAAUGCGUGCUGUUUAACACACAUAGGGCUCUGCUAGAUGUAAAAGACAGGAGCCUGCAUUCGCAGCAUCUAUUUUGGCUGCCGAAAGACUCUUUUGUGGCGUAUUUCCUAGUUCUUAGUUGACGCAGUACACUUCUGAAUAGAUGAUCUUACUAUACUUGAGAGAGAGCCAUUACUUAAGGUGAUGGCAGCAGAAACUCUGUUAUAAAAUACAUUCACAAAUAAAUAGGUGUACAAUUGAAAGUCUUAAUUCAACCCAUAUAUUACAUAACUGUGAACUGUCAAAUAAAAAAUGGAUUGAAUGCAUUGUAUAAAACACUUACAUAUUCGAUAUGUGGGAAAUACACUGCACAAUUUAAACGAAGAGAUCUAUGGAUUAAAUGAUAUGUUGCCCUUAGUUAUAGCUAAAUCAGCCUAAGAUACUAUAACACAAUAUAAUUAAUAAGUAACUUAUUAAUAAGCAAUUAAAGUCUAUUUCUAAAAGCAUUUCAAUUUUAUCAAUUUGUUUCUCACAUGAAGAGUU
Molecule: long non-coding RNA, 3314 nt
Filed under: Homo sapiens (human)
Lineage: Eukaryota; Metazoa; Chordata; Mammalia; Primates; Hominidae
Description: HSALNT0125780
Source: RNAcentral